Non-coding RNA from Cinara cedri, 2131 nucleotides. The record is from the annotation of a GenBank genome assembly. NCBI's taxonomy places the organism in Eukaryota, Metazoa, Arthropoda, Insecta, Hemiptera, Aphididae.
ACUGAAUUAUCUAGGAGUUCAUAACACAGCAUUGUAAAACUAAUAGCUCCAUCGCUACGUUUGGAAUCUAAAAAUCAUAUUAAAUAGGCAAACCAUAAUAUGUUAUUAAUUUAAUAUAUAUCUCUAAAAUAUGAAACAAUCAUGUAGCAAGUAUAUUCACAUUAUGGGCCAUCCAUAAUUUUUUUAAUUCAAUCUAUUUUUGAGUAAAGUUUUCAAUAAGAUCUUGUUGUAAUCUUAACUUAUUUUAUUAAUAUAGACACAUUUAACAUAAUUACUGAUAUGUUAAAUAUUCUUAUUUUCUAAACCAAUUAAAUAACAUUUUUACAUAGCAACUUCCUUAAAUUCUGUAUAGGAUCCUUGUUUUUUUUUUUUUUUUUUUUGGCGAUCAAUUUAACCACCGACUAAUUUAUAGCCGCCAUCAAUAAUUCGCAAUCAAUUUACCGUGAUCCAAAAUUCAGAAAUAUCACCAUAAAACUGAACCACUAAAUGUGCAUAAUUAUACACUUUAUAUAUAUAACACUAUAUACUAUAACACUUUUGAUAUUAUAUUUUCCAUUGUUUCAAUUAAUUGCUUACGUAGGAAAUAAAUUUAUUAGCCAUUAAGGUCAUGCAUUAACGUCAUGCGAAUGUAUAUUCCGAGUAUUAGAACCUUUGAACUUUUUUGUAUUUAGAUUAUCAUCCAUUUUUAAUAUAUUGUCAGUAUACUUAGUGACGUAUACUGACUAAAAAUUUAUGACUACAUCACUGGUAUAAUUUAUUUUAUAUUAUAUAUUGCUACAAUAGUCUCUCUGAUUUAAUGUAAAACAAAAUGUAUUUUCUUUUUAACAAAAAUUAUGGACUAAUUUUGAUUAUUUAUUUAGUUUAACACUAUGCCAUUUUAGACAUUAUAUGGAUUUUGUUUUUCUUCAGCUUUUAAGUCCAUUUUAUGGGCAGUUCAAUUACCACGAAACGGAUUUCUAUAUCUACUUAUAAUUGAAAAAAAAACUUAGUUAAAUUAUUAAAAUAAUUAUAAUAUAAAUAAUUAAAUGAAGAAUUUAAAAUUAAGCUCUAGUUCGUAUUGUGAAAUUCCUUUGAAUGAAUUAUUUGAUUUACCAUCAGAAUUUGAUUGUGAUUCUUUUUCUCCGUUUUGGUUUGAAUAUAAAGGUAUAAAAUAUUAUUAUGGUAUGCUACUAGUUUUAGAAGUACAAUGGAACAUUGAUUAUCCGAACCUCCGUGAUACGAAACUUCUAUUAUCCAGAUGUUAAAACUCGUUGAAGCCCUAAGCGGCCGUCCACCGAUUAUAUAACUGUCGCAAUUUAUUAUUAGUACAUACAUAUACGUAUUAGGUACGUGUGUGAAUUGUUAGUAGAUAAAAUCGAGACGUGUUCAUCGAGGCACAACCUGGGCCUGAUCUAAGGAAAUAGAGGCCUUGAGUACUACUUACUUUGGAACCAUAUUUGAAUUAAAACAGAAAUUGGUAAAAAUUAAUAAAAAAAAAAAAAAAAUGUAUACAGAUAUAUUAAAGAGAAAGAUUAUAAUAAAUUUAUAUCUGCAAAUCACUUUUUAAGUAAAGUAAAGUAUAUCUACAUAUCGAUUUCCUUUCAGAAAAGGUGCUACACAAAAAAUCGGAGCUAGAUUUCUGAUAGAAAAGUUGUCCACAGAAAAAAAAAACCUUUGCAAAACUAUAAGUUUCUUCGUCCACUCAGAAUCUAAAAUGUUAACAUUCUAACAUGUAAUAUUUACUAUUUACCAAAAAUAUAAAGUAUACUAAAAAAUAUUAAAGUGUACUCACAAUACAAUAGUAAACUACAGCUUUCAUUUACGAUUUUGUAUAUAAAAAUGUAUCAUUGUUAUUUUAAAAUUAUUUUUCAUAUACACACGCAUUGUCUGUGGAAAAUCUGUAUUUUGUUCUGUAACUAUGUCAUAUAUGGAUAAAAUAUUUUGUCUUUACUAUGAAAAACUUGAUUGGGUUUUUGGGGGUGCUAAAGACCUUCUAAUACCCUCCCAAGUUACGCCUAUGGACGUAAUGUGUUUAUCUUAGCAUAUCAAACGUCAAUGUGCGUUGAAGCAUUCGUAAUAUCAUAAACAUAUAUUCCUAUAUACUCUGUGAUUGUGUAUUUCUAAAUACAUAAUGUAAUUCUAAUAUGAAAAU